RNAcentral lists this transfer RNA (85 nucleotides) under Candidatus Rhabdochlamydia sp. T3358. RNAcentral describes it as "tRNA-Leu". It matches the Rfam family "tRNA". From Rfam's summary of the family: Transfer RNA (tRNA) molecules are approximately 80 nucleotides in length. Their secondary structure includes four short double-helical elements and three loops (D, anti-codon, and T loops). Further hydrogen bonds mediate the characteristic L-shaped molecular structure. tRNAs have two regions of fundamental functional importance: the anti-codon, which is responsible for specific mRNA codon recognition, and the 3' end, to which the tRNAs corresponding amino acid is attached (by aminoacyl-tRNA synthetases). tRNAs cope with the degeneracy of the genetic code in two manners: having more than one tRNA (with a specific anti-codon) for a particular amino acid; and 'wobble' base-pairing, i.e. permitting non-standard base-pairing at the 3rd anti-codon position. Lineage: Bacteria; Pseudomonadati; Chlamydiota; Chlamydiia; Parachlamydiales; Candidatus Rhabdochlamydiaceae. The record is from RNAcentral.
UGCCGAUGUGGCGGAAUGGUAGACGCGGUAGACUCAAAAUCUACUUUUAGUGAUAAAGUGCUGGUUCGAGUCCAGUCAUCGGUAU